Molecule: ribosomal RNA, 199 nt
Filed under: uncultured bacterium
Lineage: Bacteria
Description: partial 16S ribosomal RNA
Rfam family: Bacterial small subunit ribosomal RNA
Source: RNAcentral
ACGCUCGACACCUACAGGAGGCAGCAGUGGGGAAUAUUGCACAAUGGGGGAAACCCUGAUGCAGCGACGCCGCGUGAGCGAAGAAGUAUUUCGGUAUGUAAAGCUCUAUCAGCAGGGAAGAAACUGACGGUACCUGACUAAGAAGCACCGGCUAAAUACGUGCCANCAGCCGCGGUAAUCUGAGGCGGGCUGGCAAGGC